Molecule: ribosomal RNA, 253 nt
Filed under: uncultured bacterium
Lineage: Bacteria
Description: partial 16S ribosomal RNA
Rfam family: Bacterial small subunit ribosomal RNA
Source: RNAcentral
UGCGGGGGGGGCAAGCGUUGUUCGGAAUUACUGGGCGUAAAGGGCGCGUAGGCGGCCUGCUAAGUCGGAUGUGAAAUCCCUCGGCUCAACCGAGGAACUGCAUCCGAUACUGGCGGGCUUGAAUCCGGGAGAGGGAUGUGGAAUUCCAGGUGUAGCGGUGAAAUGCGUAGAUAUCUGGAGGAACACCGGUGGCGAAGGCGGCAUCCUGGACCGGUAUUGACGCUGAGGCGCGAAAGCUAGGGGAGCAAACGGG